This 87-nucleotide transfer RNA is filed under the name Klebsiella pneumoniae subsp. pneumoniae. RNAcentral's name for it is "tRNA-Leu". It matches the Rfam family "tRNA". Rfam says of the family: Transfer RNA (tRNA) molecules are approximately 80 nucleotides in length. Their secondary structure includes four short double-helical elements and three loops (D, anti-codon, and T loops). Lineage: Bacteria; Pseudomonadati; Pseudomonadota; Gammaproteobacteria; Enterobacterales; Enterobacteriaceae. The record is from RNAcentral.
GCGAAGGUGGCGGAAUUGGUAGACGCGCUAGAUUCAGGUGUUAGUGUUCUUACGGACGUGGGGGUUCAAGUCCCCCCCCUCGCACCA